Long non-coding RNA from Girardinichthys multiradiatus, 2627 nucleotides. RefSeq lists it as uncharacterized. Lineage: Eukaryota; Metazoa; Chordata; Actinopteri; Cyprinodontiformes; Goodeidae. The transcript is spliced from 3 exons. The record is from RefSeq and is a predicted model, not a curated record.
CAGGGGUGUGUUCUAUCCCCACUCCUCUUCUCCCUGUACACAGAUGACUGCAUUUGUGUGAGCUAAAAAUUAGGGUGAUGAUGAGGAGGCCUUCCAACCUCAAAGUUGUGUGCAGGAUACAUCCAGUGAUUUUGGGUCUUUUGGGUGGUUUUGGGUCUUUCAAUAUCAGAAACUCUCACCCAGGUGACCCAGCUGAGGUUGAUUAGACCACUGCUUGCAUCCCAGCAGCAACCACCCAUGGAUCAGCCUUCUUUAUCCACAGCAACCUUGUGGCCUUCUCUGCGGCUUCACAUACAGAUCGCGUGACCCUCUUCUCAGCCACUCAUGUCAGGUCCAGUUGACUACAGACUUUGCAGAGUGAACGUCCUGCAAAACUGUGGCAACUUCAGCUGCUUCCCCAGGAGAUGGUCCAAGGCAGGGGUCUACAACAUGCGGCUCCGGAGCAGCAAGUGGCUCUUAGGACCUUCCACAAUGGCUUUUAAUAAUUUUGGCUAUAACCAACUAAUGGAUAUAACAACAGCAGGUUUUAGCAGUAUUUCAGAUUUUUUCUUGGAACAAUUGCUUUGAAUUUCCACAACAGAAUGACACUGAAAGUACCAGUAAUAUUGUUUUAGAUCAAUAUUUUUUGCCAUUUGUUUGGAAAAAAUAUAUAUAUAUUUAUAUUAUUUUCUACAAAUAUCCCAUAGAAGAAAAUGUAUCCAUUCUCUUUUUGCAAAAGUUAGAUUUUUAUUUUUUAUUGUAAAACCUUAGUACAGAAAUAAAAUGGUGGUUCUUUAAACAUGACAACAAACCUCCAUUAGUAGAUAUUUAUAAAUACUUAUAAGUUGUUUUGUGGCUCUAAACGGGUUUUAUGUUGCUGAACUGAGAGAAGAAAUUGAUUGAAAAGGUUACAGAUCCCUGGUCUAAUGGAUGAUAAAACAAACUGAUGCCCUCGCUAUAAAGCAUGACCUUAGUAUGUUUACAAAAUGUAUUGUAUAAAUGUUUUUUUUACUUUUAACAAUUUUUAUAAAACAUCAUUAAACGUGUCAAUAUAUUUUCAGUGGUUCAUUGAUGUGAAAGAUUACAACUUUACCCUUAAGCCUCUUUCUGCAGCCAAACAUGUAGUUUGAAAAUAAACACAAGGUCUAACAAAGAUUUGACUUUACAAGUUCCCUAAGACUGCAAAUCCCAUCUCAUUUUACCAUGUUUAGCCAACAGGUUAAACUUAGCUGAAAUAACGAAAGCUAUCCACUAACGAAACCAACUGGGUCAGACCUUGAACGGGUUCUAAACUGCUUUUUCUGGACUCCAGCUGCAGAAAGCAGAAUUUCAUAGGUUGAUUUAGUUUCCUCUGCAUAACUUACCAUUGCUGCGCUCUGCGGGUAAAACAUAAACAAAAUGCUUAAGUCAAACGGAGACCUUCUUUCACAUCCCACCUCUUUAUCAUUACCCUUGUCGGCUGGGCUUAUUCAGCUGCAGGUCCAAAGGGCACCGAGCUUUUCCAAGAAUCCUUGAGGUCUCCUCCUUCCUGCACGGCCAGCCCCGUUUCACCUCCGGAGCAGAGCAGCUCUGUCCCCUUUCAGACCACAAACAUGCUUCGCAGCAGCAGAGGACCGACUGCAGGCGCAGAGACCAGCUGUACAUCAACAAGCGUGCUUCCGGUCAAAACCCUGCAUCUUAUACCCCAGUCACAGAAAAAUAAAUUCACUUGGGCACUGAAAAUAGUUUUUAUUUACAACAAGGACUGACAACCCAGUCCUGCACUGCAUCCUUCAGUAAGUUAUACACAAGUUCCUAAAUUCAGCAUUGAAAAGUGAGAUCCUUUGUCAACAACUCAGGGAACUUUAGGACUAUUUAAACUAGAUUCUCACAGUUUGACCUCGGGUAAAAAUAAGAUGUCUUCUUUACAUCUUAUUAUUAAAAACUAAAAUGUAAAGAAUGAUCUAGUAGCUUAUUUAAAACAGCUUCUAACUGACCCGACUGUACUGCAAGUUUAAAAUUCCUUAACAAGAUUGAUGGGCGGGACGUUUCCACACCAUGUCUGUCCUUGCAGUUUGGGAUUCUAAAUAUUUCUAAACACCCCGGCUGUUUUUUCACCCUGUAGGUAGUAGGCUAGUUUCAGCCAUCUGGUGGUCAGUGUGCAGCAACAGGCUGAGGAGUAAUGUGACCUAAGCCUAUGUUGCAUACUGCUAGUUAGUAUGGCACUUUCUCAAGCAUAUCAUAAUGACCAUAGGAGAGAAAAUGUGAGCUGUUUUGACAUAACGUCUCAAAAUCUCAGUAUAUCUUGAAUCCGUUCACUGGCCACACCUAAUCCCAACCUAUCUCUUUUCUUCACCAAUAAAAAAAACUGUUCACAUGUAUAUCAAAAUUUUCUUUAUAAUCAAUUACUAAAAUCUCACAUAUUAAAUUUAUCUGUAUUGUUUUUUUUACUUAAGACUUUAUCACCCCUGUUACCACUGACUGUGGUUCAGAUCCCCAUAUAGAGGAAACUCUGAGCGACCCCCCUGCAGAGAGAUGUUUUUUUAUGGGUAUAUAGUUGGGUAUGAUACGACCAAAGCUGCAAAGCCAAAAAAAAAUGGCAAAGAGGCAAAAUGUCCAGAACCCACUCAAGAGUGAUGCAUUGAUUGGUGAGACAGCUCUUAUUUGAU